This 492-nucleotide ribosomal RNA is filed under the name uncultured bacterium. RNAcentral describes it as "partial 16S ribosomal RNA". It matches the Rfam family "Bacterial small subunit ribosomal RNA", at positions 28 to 507 of the family's 1533-position model. The record is from RNAcentral.
GGUGAACGCUGGCGGUAGGCCUAACACAUGCAAGUCGAACGGAAGGACGGUGAGUGCUUGCUCUUACCGGGGGCGAGAGGCGGGUGGGUCACGAGUGCAUCGGAACCUACUUUUUCGGGGGUGAUCACGUAGGGAAGCUUACGAUAAUACAGCAUAGGCCCCACCGGUGAAAGCAGUGGAUCUUCAGGCCUUGGGGGAUUGAAUGAGCCGGUGUCGGGGUGGUUAGUUGGAGGGGUAAAGGCCCACCAAGGCGAGGAUACGUAGUUGGGCUGAGCGGUGGUUCGGCCACCCUGGAACUGAAACACGGUCCAGACUCCUACGGGAGGCACCAGUAGGGAAUAUUGGACAAUGGGCGCAAGCCUGAUCCAGCCAUGCCGCGUGGGUGAAGAAGGCCUUCGGUUUGUAAAGCCCUUUUACUGGGAAAGAAAAGCAGCAGGUUAAUACCUUGCGGUUCUGACGGUACCCAAUGAAUAAGCACCGGCUAACUUCGUG